GAGGAUCACGAGUUCGAGGCCAGCCUG
RNAcentral lists this non-coding RNA (27 nucleotides) under Cricetulus griseus (Chinese hamster). Lineage: Eukaryota; Metazoa; Chordata; Mammalia; Rodentia; Cricetidae. The record is from RNAcentral. RNAcentral also lists the same sequence under 1 other name.